GGGGAAUCAGAAUGCUUGACACAGCAGUACGCGUUCGCAUUCCCCUCCUCCCCACCCAAAACCGCUUAUCUCUGGUGUGGCGAGAUAAGGGGCUGGCCGGCCGGUAAGAAACUGUGACAGCCCCCUUCUGAGCAUGGAGGGAACCAGAAGAGAACAUGGAUCCUUGAUGAAGGAGGAAUUCCAAUAAUUGACACCAUCGACGAAGACACCGAAAUCCUAACACGAAAGUCGAGCAUGAGUUCAUUCUGCAGUGUGGCUGCCAGUGAAAACAACAACAGCAGCAAUGAUGAUUGUUCAUUGUUGUGAACAGAUGUGUUUCUGUUCAGCCAGGAAUGACAACAUUUGGGAAAGAACAAGACCUGUGGUGAGUCAAGAGAAAGAAAGAGAGUGUGUGUGUGGGGGGAUAUUUUAAGACUUACCUUUCUGGCUUGGUGGUAUGCACCUGUAAUCCCAGCACUUGGAUGGCUGAGGGAGGAAGAUCUGAGUUUGAAUCCAGCCUGGGCUACACUGGUCAAGACUAGUCCGGACUUCAUAGAGAGACUCUGGCUCAAAGAAACAAAAUUAAACAAAAGACUCACCUGGAGUACGCAUCCUGGGAAAGUGGACCAACUUUUGGCUUGGGGUGAGGAUAUCCGCGUACCAUCUGUGCAUGGCGCUUCAUCAGCAGGAUGAUGUUGGGUAAGUCCCUGUCCCAUCCUUCCCUGCAUCCCCCCAUCCAGCAGAAGGCUGGCAUUAUUAAGUGCUUCCAGUCUUGGCUGCACAUUAGAAUAGUCUGGGAAGCUUUAAAAAUUUCAAAUGAUUAGGC
RNAcentral lists this long non-coding RNA (805 nucleotides) under Fukomys damarensis (Damara mole-rat). RNAcentral's name for it is "lncRNA (ENSFDAG00000030180.1)". The record is from RNAcentral. Lineage: Eukaryota; Metazoa; Chordata; Mammalia; Rodentia; Bathyergidae.